AGUGCUACACCCAGGCACCCCUUAGGAUUGUUUUAAAAUAUGCCAUUGGAAUUUUGAGAGAUUGCACUGAUUCUCUUAAGUUGCUUUUAGUGUGAAUAUUUUAAUAUUCUUCCAAUCUGUAAACAUGGAGUAUCUUUCCAUUUAUUUGUCUUCGGUUUCCUUCGUUAAUCUCUGAGAGUUCUCAGCGUACAGGUCUUUCACAUCUUUACAUUUAUUUCUGGGUAUUUUGUUCUUUCUGAUGCCAUUGUAAAUGGGAUUGUUUUCUUAAUUUCUCUAGUUUCUUUAGUUUGUUGUGCGUGUACAGAAAUGCAAAAGAUUGCUGUAUACUGAUUUUGUGUCCUGUAACUUUACUGAAUUAGUUCCAACAUUUUUUGGUCUUUAGGGUUUUCUAUAUAUAAUGCCAUGUUAUCUGCAAAUACUGACAGCUUUACUUCAAGACUUACAGCCUUUUCUUUUUCUUGCCUAAUUGCUCUGGCUAGAACUUCUAAUACUGUGUUAAAUAACUUUUAAAAUCUGACAUAAAAAGCAAAGUGGCCCCAAUAAAGAAGUUUAAAUGUUGAACACUGAGUUCCUGGACCAACUCCCUUCUUUUUAUGGAGCCCCCUGUGGGUAAUGGAGGCAUCAGAAACAGUUCGAAGUUACUGCUGUGGAACAGACCUCAAAACUUAGAGGUUCAAACAGUAAUCAUUUCUCUCAUGGUUUCUAUGGAUUAGGGAUGUAGGAAAGGUUCUCCUUGGCAAUUCUGACUCAGGGUAUCUGAUGCAUUUGCAGUUAACAGUGGCUAGAGCCAGAGUAGCAGGAGGUUAGAACACUGGGGACUGGCCAGGCAUUUCUGCCUGUCAUUUCAGGGUCUGUGUGGGCUGGUUUGGGCUUCAUCACAGAAUGUGGCUUCAGGGUGUUAGUUUUAUGUGGUGACACAAGGACUACCAGCCUACACAGCUUGCAUAUUCCAACAAACCAGCUGUAAGCUGUGUUGCCUUUUAUGAUGGAGCUUUUGGAAGUCUCAUAGCCGUACUUUUGUCAUAUUAACCAGUCACACUUCUUGAUCUAGGGAAUAUCAGACUUUACUGAUCUUUUAAAACUGCCACAUCUACCCUCAAGAAGCCUUCUGGUGUGGGAGGCCAAGACUAGUCCAGAUAACACCACCAAGAGAAUACCAAAAGACCUAAUUACCAUAGGAGAGAUGGCAGAUUCUCCUUGCCAAUACCUACCCUUCUGAGCGGUAUUACAGGAGUUUACGAGUCUCCAACUUGGAAAUAUCAGAUUUUUUAAAAAAGUGACACUGGCAAUAAGAAUUUAGAAUUCUGGGACAUCUGGGUAGCUCAGUUGGUUAAGCGCGUGCCCUUGGCUCAGGUCAUGAUCCCAGGGUCCUGGAACUGAG
This is a long non-coding RNA of Callorhinus ursinus (northern fur seal), 1381 nucleotides long. RefSeq lists it as uncharacterized. Lineage: Eukaryota; Metazoa; Chordata; Mammalia; Carnivora; Otariidae. The record is from RefSeq and is a predicted model, not a curated record.